RNAcentral lists this ribosomal RNA (631 nucleotides) under Staphylococcus aureus. RNAcentral describes it as "partial 23S ribosomal RNA". It matches the Rfam family "Bacterial large subunit ribosomal RNA", at positions 929 to 1561 of the family's 2925-position model. Lineage: Bacteria; Bacillati; Bacillota; Bacilli; Caryophanales; Staphylococcaceae. The record is from RNAcentral.
UCUCGGGUUACCGAAUUCAGACAAACUCCGAAUGCCAAUUAAUUUAACUUGGGAGUCAGAACAUGGGUGAUAAGGUCCGUGUUCGAAAGGGAAACAGCCCAGACCACCAGCUAAGGUCCCAAAAUAUAUGUUAAGUGGAAAAGGAUGUGGCGUUGCCCAGACAACUAGGAUGUUGGCUUAGAAGCAGCCAUCAUUUAAAGAGUGCGUAAUAGCUCACUAGUCGAGUGACACUGCGCCGAAAAUGUACCGGGGCUAAACAUAUUACCGAAGCUGUGGAUUGUCCUUUGGACAAUGGUAGGAGAGCGUUCUAAGGGCGUUGAAGCAUGAUCGUAAGGACAUGUGGAGCGCUUAGAAGUGAGAAUGCCGGUGUGAGUAGCGAAAGACGGGUGAGAAUCCCGUCCACCGAUUGACUAAGGUUUCCAGAGGAAGGCUCGUCCGCUCUGGGUUAGUCGGGUCCUAAGCUGAGGCCGACAGGCGUAGGCGAUGGAUAACAGGUUGAUAUUCCUGUACCACCUAUAAUCGUUUUAAUCGAUGGGGGGACGCAGUAGGAUAGGCGAAGCGUGCGAUUGGAUUGCACGUCUAAGCAGUAAGGCUGAGUAUUAGGCAAAUCCGGUACUCGUUAAGGCUGAGC